GGGCUCGUAGUGUAGCUUGGUUAACACGUGUCCCUGUCAAGGACAAGAUCGCCGGUUCGAAUCCGGUCGGGCCCGCCA
RNAcentral lists this transfer RNA (78 nucleotides) under Candidatus Amesbacteria bacterium RIFOXYB1_FULL_47_12. RNAcentral's name for it is "tRNA-Asp". It matches the Rfam family "tRNA". Rfam says of the family: Transfer RNA (tRNA) molecules are approximately 80 nucleotides in length. Lineage: Bacteria; Candidatus Amesiibacteriota. The record is from RNAcentral. RNAcentral also lists the same sequence under 1 other name.